Non-coding RNA from Callithrix jacchus (white-tufted-ear marmoset), 3582 nucleotides. NCBI's taxonomy places the organism in Eukaryota, Metazoa, Chordata, Mammalia, Primates, Cebidae. The record is from RefSeq and is a predicted model, not a curated record.
UUCAUCCAUUCACUCACUCAUCCACCUUUCAUCCAUCCAUCCACCAUUCAUCCACCAUCCACCCACCCAUCCUACCACCCAUCAAUCCAUCCACUCACCCAUACAUCCACCACACACUCAUCUAUCUAUCCAUCCAUUCAUCCAUCCAUCCACCCUUCCAUUUAUCCAUCCACACACCCAUUCAUCCACCCUUCCAUCCAUCCACCCACCCAUCUAUCCACCACACAUCCAUCCAUCUACCCACUCAUCCAUCCACUCAUCCAUCCAUCCUCCAUUCACUUAUCCCUCACCUGUCCAUUCAUUCACCCAUGCAUGCAUACAUGCCUCCACCCUUCUAUCCACCCAUCCAUCCAUCCGCCCACUCAUCCACAGUUGCAUCCCCUCAUUCUAUGCAUUUUCCUUGAACAACUCAAACACACCAGUCUAGAGCUUGGAGUGGGGAGGAAAAGAUUAGAAGGGAAAGAGCCAGGCCCAGUUUCUGCCUUCUGGGGUGACAGACAAGCCAAGUGGCUGCACCUGUCCACAUGGAGAAGGGUUAGCUGGCAGCAGCACUGAGUGCUAAGAGGGCCAGGGAGGUUGUGUCCCGUGAAGGAGUGGGGCUUCCUAGGACAGACAGUAUAGCUGAGAUACUGGAGGCAUUGUCUCCUGGGCCACACUAGUUCAGCCCACGUGUCUUUUGAUAUGGUGUGGAGGAGACAGCACAAAUGUCCGUGUUGACAACCCACGCAGGGGUGGUGCCGCCAGCCUGCCCACGAGCCAUCUGCUGGGUUCCUUCCCUUUCCUGAGCAUGCUGGAGCCGUGGGCUGCCGCGCUCCCUGCACCGUGGGCAGAUGCACGUGGGCCUUGGGCUCCUGCCCCACAAGGCACCCAGCAGGUUUGCAUCCUGAUGGAGAAGGGGCGGCCUGGUAUGGUCAGUGGGACCUGGGGCGCUCCUCCCAGGGGCACAGUACCUGACAGUUCAGGAGGUGCUUCUGUCUUCAGGGUUUUGUUCAGUUCCUGUGACCAUCCAUCCUGGGAGGGGCAAGGCAGGGCCCCUUGCUGCCUCCUAGAAGUGAAGACUGGGGCCCAGGUGCCAGUGACUGUGCAUGGCAUGAGCCUGCAGAGCUGGGCAGGGCAGGGCUUUGAGUUCUGUGUGCUUCAACCCCUCCUCCGAGGGAGCAGUAAUGGUGCAGUGGGAGGGCACAGGCUCCAGAGGUGAUGGCAGUGGUGCCCUGUGGGUGUGGUUUCCACCCACGCAGGGCCAGGAUUAAGUACUUGGUGUAUGGGGGUAGGCAGAACGGUGGAGGGCAGUGCCCUGGACGCUGCAAUGGUGCCUCUGGCCAGGCUGUUUACUUUGGCAAACAGUACUUGUGUGUAUGUGUGUCUGUGUGAGUGUGUUCUUAGAAUACAUGCCAUCCCUCCUGUCCUUGGGAAGGCAUUCAUCUGGGCACCUGCUAAUGAGCUGGAGACUCAGUUGUUCGCUGUACACACUCUUGAGCUCCCGUGUUGGGCUUGGCCCUGUGCCUAUGGGGAGUCAGUCUCAGGUCUGUCCUCAUAGGCACUCUUGACCUUUGUGGCGGGACCACCCUUGGUUGUGAAGGGCCGGCCUGAGCAGCAUCCCGGCCUGAGCAUCACGCCAGCCUGAGCGGCAUCCCGGCCUGAGCAUCACGCCAGCCUGAGCGGCAUCCCGGCCUGAGCAUCACGCCAGCCUGAGCGGCAUCCCGGCCUGAGCAGCAUCCCCGGCCUGAGCGGCAUCCCGGCCCGAGUGGCAUCCCCAGCCUGAGCGGCAUCCCCGGCCUGAGUGGCAUCCCCAGCUUGAGCAUCGCGCCAGCCUGAGUGGCAUCCCGGCCUGAGCAGCAUCCCGGCCUGAGCAGCAUCCCAGCCCGAGUGGCAUCCCCGGCCUGAGUGGCAUCCCCGGCCUGAGCGGCAUCCCCGGCUUGAGCAUCGCACCAGCCUGAGCGGCAUACUGGCCUGAGCAGCAUCCCCGGCCUGAGCAGCAUCCCUGGCCUCUGCCCCCUUAAUGCAGCUGCUCCCUCCGCCCAGGCAUUGGCGGCUGUAGAGCAGACCCUCUGCUGCGCUCCUGGUGCUUGUGGAUGGGGACAGAGGAGAAAUGGGACGAGUGUGCUGAGGGUGGUGCCCACAAAGAUGGGGAGCCCCAGAGGCAGCAGGGUGCCCUUGGGGUACAGGAGAGUCAUGGGGGGAGGCGGCUUCUCAGCUGAAACCAGAGGCCUCACAAGAGGCAUUCAGAUGAGGAGACAGGGGACGGGCAUCCCAAGCCCAGGAGGCAGGCGAGUGGGCACGGGGUGGGGGCCAGGUUGGGUGUGGGGGCCGGGAGGGGGCCCAGCCAGUCCCAGAGCAGAGGGCAGGAGUGGCCAUGGGAGGCCCCUUUGUGGUCUGGGCCCUGCUCUGGCUGGUGAUGGGCUGUGUGGGAAGUGGGGGCAGGGGCCAGGGUCUCGGGCAUCUGGGAGGAGAAGGGGCUUUGCAGAGCUGGGGAGCUGGGGUGUCAGGCAGGGCAGGCUGUGCCCAGGGCACCUGGUCACCCUGACUCAGCUUUCUUACCUCUUUCCCUUGCUUUCCUGCCCGCUCCAGGUCUGUGCUCUUGGAAGUGCCAGCUCCGGCUUCUGGCAGGAUGAGAGCUGAGCGAUUGGGAGCUUCCGUGGUGGGCAGAUCAGAGAGCAAUAAUUAGAGGCUUAGGCUCACGGCUGCAUGAAGAGGCACACAGGGCCUCCGCAGAGAAGGUGGUUAGUCACCGGCCUCACUGCCCUGGCCUGGUCUGGCUGACCCGGUGUGAUGUUGUGUACAGCGCCUGUGAGACACAGAGGUGGGACUCAGACACCCACGGGGCCUGAGGCUUCGGGGGCUCAGAUUCGGGGUUGAGCCCCUUUGACAGGGUUCUUUGAGGGGCAGGGGCCCCCCGACCUCUCGAUCAUACCACACUGGGCAGAGCACUUCAUAGGUGACACACCUUCUCCCCACCUCCAGAGGUGCCCAGGAGGAAGCUACCUAUUCAUGCUGCAAUGCUGGAGAGCUGAAACCCAGACACCACAAAUUUGGACGAACAGCUGUGACAGCCAGUGUUUGAAUCCACUGAGAGAAGAUGAGGCCACUGCCCCUGAGUGGGGUGCAGGGCUUAGAGUUACCCCAGCUCAGGCCUGUCUCCUCCACCCUGUGGGACCUCAGACCCAUCACUGCAGUGCUCAGGACCUCAGUUUUUUUAUUUGGACAUGGAAGACACGAACAGCUCUGCUGGUGGCGGGACACGGUUGUGACCAGCUUGGGGGAAGAAGAGGCCCCAAGGGCCUUUCUGUCCUCCAAGAUUGCAUGGGCAGUGAGGAGAGCCUGCAGGGGGCACAGGGUGGGCUGUGCUCCCAGCAGCCCCUCCAGCUUUUCCCCCUCCUUCUUCAUGUAAGCUCUUUCCUUGACAGACCUUGCUCCUCACAGCCCUCUCUGGUCAUAUUUAUUUUAUUCUAUGGCUUUGAUCUGUAAAAUGUCUGGAAAAUCCUUUCUCAGAAGGUGCUGGCUUCUGCCUCUCUCGUUAGUAGUAAAAUUCGGUGUGUAAGCAUUUCAUGGACUCUUGGUACAUUUUUUAUUACGGAGGCCCAU